AGAGUUUGAUCCUGGCUCGGGACGAACGCUGGCGGCGUGCUUAACACAUGCAAGUCGAACGGGGCAUAGAGAUGUGCCUAGUGGCGGACGGGUGAGUAACACGUGAGCAAUCUAUCCUAUACAACGGGAUAACACAGAGAAAUUUGUGCUAAUACGGUAUAAGACCACAUUCCGGCAUCGGAGAGGGGUAAAAGCUGAGGCGGUAUAGGAGGAGCUCGCGGCCCAUUAGCUAGUUGGAGAGGUAACGGCU
RNAcentral lists this ribosomal RNA (250 nucleotides) under uncultured bacterium. RNAcentral describes it as "partial 16S ribosomal RNA". It matches the Rfam family "Bacterial small subunit ribosomal RNA", at positions 8 to 265 of the family's 1533-position model. The record is from RNAcentral.